RNAcentral lists this transfer RNA (72 nucleotides) under Candidatus Sneabacter namystus. It matches the Rfam family "tRNA". From Rfam's summary of the family: Transfer RNA (tRNA) molecules are approximately 80 nucleotides in length. Their secondary structure includes four short double-helical elements and three loops (D, anti-codon, and T loops). Further hydrogen bonds mediate the characteristic L-shaped molecular structure. tRNAs have two regions of fundamental functional importance: the anti-codon, which is responsible for specific mRNA codon recognition, and the 3' end, to which the tRNAs corresponding amino acid is attached (by aminoacyl-tRNA synthetases). tRNAs cope with the degeneracy of the genetic code in two manners: having more than one tRNA (with a specific anti-codon) for a particular amino acid; and 'wobble' base-pairing, i.e. permitting non-standard base-pairing at the 3rd anti-codon position. Lineage: Bacteria; Pseudomonadati; Pseudomonadota; Alphaproteobacteria; Rickettsiales; Rickettsiaceae. The record is from Rfam by way of RNAcentral.
GGGGGUAUAGCUCAGGGGUAGAGCAUCUGCCUUGCACGCAGAGGGCCAAGGGUUCAAAUCCCUUUACCUCCA